Molecule: ribosomal RNA, 460 nt
Filed under: uncultured bacterium
Lineage: Bacteria
Description: SSU rRNA
Rfam family: Bacterial small subunit ribosomal RNA
Source: RNAcentral
AGAAUCAACGCUGGCGGCGUGCCUAACACAUGCAAGUCGAACGAGAAAGUGGAGCAAUCCAUGAGUAAAGUGGCGCACGGGUGAGUAACACGUGACUAACCUACCUUUUAGUGGGGGAUAACCUAGGGAAACCUGGGCUAAUACCGCAUAACACUUACGAGUCAAAGCAGCAAUGCGCUGAAAGAGGGGGUCGCGGUCGAUUAGUUAGUUGGCAGGGUAAUGGCCUACCAAGACUGUGAUCGAUAUCCGGCCUGAGAGGGCGCACGGACACACUGGAACUGAAACACGGUCCAGACUCCUACGGGAGGCAGCAGUGGGGAAUUUUGCGCAAUGGGGGAAACCCUGACGCAGCAACGCCGCGUGGAGGAUGAAGUCCCUUGGGACGUAAACUCCUUUCGAUCGGGACGAUAAUGACGGUACCGGAAGAAGAAGCCCCGGCUAACUUCGUGCCAGCAGCCGC